GGGGAUGUAGCUCAGUUGGUAGAGUGCUUGUCUCCUAUGCAUAAGGCCCUGGGUUCUAAUCCCCAGCACCA
RNAcentral lists this transfer RNA (71 nucleotides) under Ictidomys tridecemlineatus (thirteen-lined ground squirrel). Its description in RNAcentral is "Spermophilus tridecemlineatus (thirteen-lined ground squirrel) tRNA". It matches the Rfam family "tRNA". From Rfam's summary of the family: Transfer RNA (tRNA) molecules are approximately 80 nucleotides in length. Their secondary structure includes four short double-helical elements and three loops (D, anti-codon, and T loops). The record is from Rfam by way of RNAcentral. Lineage: Eukaryota; Metazoa; Chordata; Mammalia; Rodentia; Sciuridae.